Molecule: long non-coding RNA, 828 nt
Organism: Brassica rapa (field mustard)
Lineage: Eukaryota; Viridiplantae; Streptophyta; Magnoliopsida; Brassicales; Brassicaceae
Source: RefSeq, a predicted model, not a curated record
AAACGACCUAUUUCCACACCAGAAGUUUCAUAUAGUAAGAGUUCCACACAAUCUUUCAACCUCGUCUUAAUUGCACAUAUAUAGAAGUUGUACAACCUAUUUCCCCACAAUGUCAAAGUUCGAAACCCGAACCCACAUGAACAUACAAUUAGCUGAUUAAAAUCGGUUUACAGGUUUUUGAGUUUAAGCCUAACCAAUAGAAAACCUAAUUAAACCUAAGAAGACCCGUUUACGUCUUUACGACCCGAUUUGUUAUUAUAAACCGUAAUUUAACUAACCCAGUUUUUAUUAACCAGAAAAAAACCCCAAUUCUGUUCAUCUCUCUCAAGUGUCGUGAACUCUAGGCAAGACUGAAGCUUUGAAUCAAUUUUGUGGACUGUUCUUUCUGCCUAAUCGGUUAUGUCAGAAUGACUCAGGAAGGAGGGAUUGAUGUGAAUGUUGAGUGGAAUGAUGUCCCUGAAUUCGAACACUUGAUGUCCCUGACGAAGCUCCACUUUCGUUGCUCAUUUUCGAUUUUCACCAGCUGAAGGAGAGAGUUCUGGGUUCGUUUUUAGGGUUCGUAUAAUUGGGGGUUUUUAAAACUGGAUUCCAACCGGGUUAAAAUAGGAUCUCUGGUCGGGUUAUUUUAUGUCUUUCGGUUUGGUUACCUCUUCUGAACCACUAAAUUGAUGAAUAACCGAAGCCAUGUGGGUUCGGGUUUCGAACUUUGACAUUGUGGGGAAAUAGGUUGUACAACUUCUAUAUAUGUGCAAUUAAGACGAGGUUGAAAGAUCGUGUGGAACUGUUACUAUAUGAAACUUCUGGUGUGGAAAUAUGUCGUUUCCCCAA